AGGAAGUGGGAUGACGUCAAAUCAUCAUGCCCCUUAUGACCUGGGCUACACACGUGCUACAAUGGGCGGUACAAAGGGUCGCGAACCCGCGAGGGGGAGCCAAUCCCAAAAAGCCGCUCUCAGUUCGGAUUGCAGGCUGCAACUCGCCUGCAUGAAGCCGGAAUCGCUAGUAAUCGCGGAUCAGCAUGCCGCGGUGAAUACGUUCCCGGGCCUU
Molecule: ribosomal RNA, 214 nt
Filed under: uncultured Anoxybacillus sp.
Lineage: Bacteria; Bacillati; Bacillota; Bacilli; Caryophanales; Anoxybacillaceae
Description: partial 16S ribosomal RNA
Rfam family: Bacterial small subunit ribosomal RNA
Source: RNAcentral